UACGGGGGGGAGCAAGCGUUGUUCGGAUUUACUGGGCGUAAAGGGCGCGUAGGCGGUCGUGACAAGUCACUUGUGAAAUCUCCGGGCUUAACUCGGAACGGUCAAGUGAUACUGUCGGACUAGAGUACAGAAGGGGCAACUGGAAUUCUCGGUGUAGCGGUGAAAUGCGUAGAUAUCGAGAGGAACACCUGCGGCGAAGGCGGCUCACUGGGGCUUUUCUGACGCUGAGGAACGAAAGCCAGGGUAGCCGAACGG
RNAcentral lists this ribosomal RNA (255 nucleotides) under uncultured bacterium. RNAcentral's name for it is "partial 16S ribosomal RNA". It matches the Rfam family "Bacterial small subunit ribosomal RNA", at positions 524 to 776 of the family's 1533-position model. The record is from RNAcentral.